Long non-coding RNA from Scophthalmus maximus (turbot), 2149 nucleotides. RefSeq lists it as uncharacterized. The record is from RefSeq and is a predicted model, not a curated record. Lineage: Eukaryota; Metazoa; Chordata; Actinopteri; Pleuronectiformes; Scophthalmidae. The transcript has 2 exons.
UAGCACAGCCACUUUCUCCCGGCAUUCCAUUACAUUCAAUAAUAUCAGUGCAUAGCCAUAAACUUUGUCUCAUUGUCCAGAUUGAAUAUCUCUGAAACCCAUCUGUUAUUUAAAUUAUGGAGGGAAGGAAGUGGAGAAAAACAUGGUUUCAGCUCUAUUUCUAUUUCCUCAUUACCUCAAGCUCUGUGCUGAGACAAACUGGUUUACAUGAAUUAACAGAUACUUGUGUAAAACUCCUGAUCUACGUGUAGUAGGUGUGUAGUAGUUUUGGUGAACGCAGCCCCAGUAUCAGUGAAUGCAGCCUCAGGCUUGACUCCUCUUCGCCACUCUCCUAAUCAGGCCCCACUAUAAAAGGCACAUGCUGGUAGUUGUUCUCUCUUUUGGUGCCACCAGUGCUGUUCCCUCUUGCUGCUACAUUUUUCCAGGAGGAGGAGCUGAAUGUCAUUUUUUAGUUCACUUUUUAGGGAUUAAACGGUUACCGAUUUCAUGGUAAACCAUGGUGAAAUUCUCAACGGUUAGUUCUACCGUUUCAAAUUUUAAUUAUCAUUAAAACCGUGGUUGAUUACCACGGUAAAUAUUGUCCAGCUCUACCAGAUGCAGGCGUGUCGAUGCUGAGGGACAGUUGAUAGAAGGUGGCUAUCUACUGUAUGUCCGCAGAACCUGCAGGAAAACAAUCGCUAUUGAAUGGCUCUUUGGAAGAACGAAGGGAUCAGUCUUGGGAGCGUGGUUAUUUUGUAAAGAACAAUUUAACACAUCUCUGCACAAGAUGGAUAUUUUUCAAGAAAAGAGAACGAUGAGCUUGUCUUUUGAAAGGUUUAUGUAUUUUGAACAUUUUCAUAUUUAAAAAAAUACCGUGAUAAUACUGAUAGCUGUGAUAAUUUUAACUACCAUGAUGUUAAAUUUUCAUACUGUUAUAUUGCUUGUCCCCUUUAUUGUUUGCUGUGAUGAUGGGCACUGACACACGUUUGAUUCACCUUGGUUUCUGUGUGUAGGUGGCUGUGGCUGCACUUCUGGUGAUUAUGUGGUAGCACCCCUGGGCACAUCCUAGCAUAGCCUGCCACCCCACUUACUAGCCUCAGCCCUCCUGCAGUUUGUUUUUUAGUUACCAGUUGCACAAUUAAUAUUUUAAUGAAAAGAUUUUAACAUCUUUCGCGCACCUUGUUUUCUUUUGAUUAUCAAUCAAAAUAUAAGUGAUUGAUUUGCUUUAUAUCAUCUGUCGUCUGUCCUUCAAUUGAACAAGCCUGUGUGCUUAAGUAAAUUUUAAGUUACUGACAAUAGCAUAUUCAAUAGUACAUAUUUCCUGGGGUGCAAUUCCUCAGGUGGUGUUGCCGGACUUACAACUAUUUAUACACUGUAUAUUAGUCUUCUCAACAGCUGCUCCGUCACAUACACAUUCAGAAUUUUUAAUUUACAUGUGUAUAUAAAUUACCAGAGGCCCCCUUGCAGAUAGAGACAUCACAUUGUCAGAGGUAUUGAAUGGAUUGGUCAAAUGGUUUACUGGCAGAUUGGACCACAUUGUAUUGUGAUUUAAGCCUGUCCAGGAUUUGCUGAGUUGUAUCCACCUCAUUGUCACACAGCACUUGAUUAACCCGGCCCACAACCUACUGUUUUUGACUUGCCUUGAUGCAAUGGUAUAAAAUAUCACUCUGGAUGUUGACUAUCAAAAAAAAUUGUACUACCUUGCUGUGAUCUUCUGUCUUGCACCUGAGACUAGACACAGAAUUGGACCUAAAGGAAUUCUUAAUCUCCAGCUCAAACUGCAAGAAACCUAGGUGGGACACUGGAAGACCAGCUGUCCUUCCCUGCCAACAUUUCAGUGACGACCUGCUCCUCCAGAUUAAACCUCCACAACAUCAGGAGGAUACAUCUGUUCUUCACAGGAGGGGACGCAGGAAGCACUGCAAAGGGUGGGCAGCCACCGCUCAACUAAAUCACAUCUGUUUUCUGUCCUGGUUCCUCAAUGGUGGUACAAGCUCCCCAUUGACAUCAGGUCAGCAGAAAAACCCUUAAAUGCUUCUGUGACAGCCUGAAAACUCAACUGUUCAGACUGCUCCUUACUCCUUGAAUCAUUUCUUCUUGUAACUUCUCCGAAUCUAAGAUGAGGCACUUGAAGCUGUUUUUGCCUGUUUGAUAAAUGUUUUUGUCUUGA